This 148-nucleotide non-coding RNA is filed under the name Gorilla gorilla gorilla (western lowland gorilla). Lineage: Eukaryota; Metazoa; Chordata; Mammalia; Primates; Hominidae. The record is from Rfam by way of RNAcentral.
GCUGGGCGUGGUGGUGCACGCCUGUAAUCCCAGCUACUCAGGAGGCUGAGGCAGGAGAAUCACUUGAACCUGGGAGGCAGAGGUUGCAGUGAGCCGAGAUUGUGCCACUGCACUCCAGCCUGGGCGACAGAGUGAGACUCUGUCUCAA